RNAcentral lists this long non-coding RNA (391 nucleotides) under Zea mays. RNAcentral describes it as "long non-coding RNA NONZMAT002577". The record is from RNAcentral. Lineage: Eukaryota; Viridiplantae; Streptophyta; Magnoliopsida; Poales; Poaceae.
AUUCUAAAUCUUAAUUCAGCGUGCAAUCAAACAAUAUAAUUAUGAAAAAACCUAAUUUAAAUUCUUAGUUCCAUGCUACAAUAUCCACAACCAAACGGGUAUAAGGUUUUGGCGACCAUGGGAUCGAACAAGACUUGAUGAAAGAGACGAGGGAGCUAGUAGAGCAGCUCGUCACGCUUUGGCCCCUCAUCCAUAUCUCCGCGACAGUCGGUGGUCUGAUUUUCACUCACGAGCGUUUGGCAUCUGUUUGUGCUGGCUUGUUGCGUUGCGGCGGCUCUCCCCGUACGGUUCGGCCGCUUCCCACCACGUCCUGCCUGCCGGUGGCCUCCUCCUUCAUCCCACAGGCCACACCGACUCACAGUCAUCAUCUAUCAGCUCCCCCUUGGAAUCU